AUGACAUGGCCCUUAGGAGAAGAGGGGGCCACAAAUGUUUACUAAGCACGUCCUAUGAGCCAGGCUUUGUGCUCCGUCUUGUUUCAUCUUCACAACUCUGCAUAUAUUAUUAUUUUGCAGAUGAUGAAUCUGAGACGCAAAGGAGCUGAGAUAGCUCCAGGGGAGAAGAAACACAAUUGAAGAGAGCAUAUCAUUAUGAAGUGCCAAGCCUGGCUGUCCCUGGCAGAAAUGCAACAGAGACUAGGGAGUGAGAGAGACAGGCAAGCAAAAGCUGUAGCAGAUGGUCAGGAGAAGCCCACGGAAGACUCUGCUAGUGAUGGCUCCCUAUUCAGAUCCAAGGGCUGGCGCGGGAGGUAUCAGUGGAGAUAGGAGCACGCCAUCCUCAGCCUCACAGGUUGCUUCGGUUUGAAUUUCAACGAGGGGAGCCUGCCAAGAUCAGGCAGUAAAAUACGGACUGGAUCAUAAAUCCCAGCAGGGGUGGGAGAGCGUAAGACAGAUUGCUAACACCUUUAAAAAGAAAUUUUAAACAAAAAAGGCGAAGCAGGCCCCAUGGGCUCUUCAUCCAAAGCCAGCGAUGUUUCUCUGGGAUGUGUCUUGGAGAUAAGGCAGAAAUACUCUCAAAUGAGCACCUUCCAAAAAGUCGAGUCUUUCUGCAUCCUUCCCUCUGGAGUGACCGCUCAUGCCGCUCAUCAAAGUCUCCUUUCAUCAGCGCCAGGCCACGGGAAAUAAACGCAACUGGGAGCAAGGAGCUUGAAGCUGUAAGAAGAAAGCCAUGUGUUUCCUUCCUAAGACUAAAAUGAUUUCCCUACGAGGAAUAAAGAGCUUUUACAAACUUUCUGCAUGGAUACGUCUUGGAGGGGCGCACGCUGAUUUCUCUCACACCCGCACUGUGCACCAAGUGGAGAAACAGAAGCCCUUAUUUGCUUGGUUUUGUAACAGGUUCACUAUAUUUGAGCAUAGACAGAAAAGUAGACGGCCUUAUAACAGAGCUUAUUAUUACCCCGAUUUGGAUAAACCACAGGUCACAUCACGUCGGCUGAAACAUAACCG
This 1050-nucleotide long non-coding RNA is filed under the name Equus caballus (horse). RNAcentral describes it as "lncRNA (ENSECAG00000033739.3)". The record is from RNAcentral. Lineage: Eukaryota; Metazoa; Chordata; Mammalia; Perissodactyla; Equidae.